UUCCGGUAACGGCUAUAAAACUAAUUUUCAUUUUUUUUACCUAGAACUAUGUUUUUCGAUCUUGAUAAAAAGUGAAAACAAUCAAGGACCGAGCGGUAACCGUAACUUAAAAAUUUCCCUCAGUUCAUCCUCCUUGUUUUG
Neodiprion fabricii is the source of this 141-nucleotide long non-coding RNA. RefSeq lists it as uncharacterized. Lineage: Eukaryota; Metazoa; Arthropoda; Insecta; Hymenoptera; Diprionidae. The transcript is spliced from 3 exons. The record is from RefSeq and is a predicted model, not a curated record.